This 468-nucleotide ribosomal RNA is filed under the name uncultured bacterium. RNAcentral describes it as "partial 16S ribosomal RNA". It matches the Rfam family "Bacterial small subunit ribosomal RNA", at positions 28 to 507 of the family's 1533-position model. The record is from RNAcentral.
GACGAACGCUGGCGGCGUGCUUAACACAUGCAAGUCGAACGGAAAGGCCCUGCUUUUGUGGGGUGCUCGAGUGGCGAACGGGUGAGUAACACGUGAGUAACCUGCCCUUGACUUUGGGAUAACUUCAGGAAACUGGGGCUAAUACCGGAUAGGAGCUCCUGCUGCAUGGUGGGGGUUGGAAAGUUUCGGCGGUUGGGGAUGGACUCGCGGCUUAUCAGCUUGUUGGUGGGGUAGUGGCUUACCAAGGCUUUGCCGGGUAGCCGGCCUGAGAGGGGGACCGGCCACAUUGGGACUGAGAUACGGCCCAGACUCCUACGGGAGGCAGCAGUGGGGAAUAUUGCACAAUGGGCGGAAGCCUGAUGCAGCAACGCCGCGUGCGGGAUGACGGCCUUCGGGUUGUAAACCGCUUUCGCCUGUGACGAAGCGUGAGUGACGGUAAUGGGUAAAGAAGCACCGGCUAACUACGUG